Molecule: long non-coding RNA, 2132 nt
Filed under: Triticum aestivum (bread wheat)
Lineage: Eukaryota; Viridiplantae; Streptophyta; Magnoliopsida; Poales; Poaceae
Description: long non-coding RNA (TAES_LNC021371)
Source: RNAcentral
UACGACCAGGUCCAAGAAAUACAAGAAUAGAUCAAAGUAAACUGGCCAGAAAACUCGGAUUAUCUAUUUCGUUGCAAUUAGUCUGAUGACGACAAGAAGCAUAACAUUGCAAACACGUAUAUUAGUAGUGUAUACUAUCAAGGUGGCAUUGGGUUUGCAAAGGUGAGGGAGCCUGCUGCAACUUGGUGCACAUUUAUAUCAUUUUUUCAUGGUUAGUAUAUUAUUUCAUUAUCCGGUGAGGGAGCCUGUGAAACUUCCUUUUAUUUCCUCAUUAUGAAACUGAGACAGCUCACCAUUGUAUAUCAGCAAACCUUGAAACCGAUUAUGUUCCGUAUCAUAAACAAAGCAGAAUUAUUGUGGAUGCAAGUUGGACUCAGCAAGUUGUGCCAAACCAUGGGAAGGCAUGGGCAAGGUGGUUGAGCUUGAUGCCGAUGAUACAGAGGUUAUUGCUUCAGCGAUGCUGGAGGCCCUUCAAGGUAAGAUUAGAUGCGCCUCGGUGACUCAGAGUCUCAGGUCAUCAGUGAGUUUUGCUUCAUACCAGUUGAGCAGUGUAUAUUGUUGGCUAUAAAUAUUUGAAUUAUCUCCAAUCUUGUGUUUCGGGUUCUACUAACUCCCGUAUUUUACCAUGUUUUGUCACUUCAACAAACUUUUACUUAACUAUUUAGUUAAUGUAUGCAAAGUUCUGGUUUAGAAACUUAAUGCUGAAUUCUGAACCAAAAUGAUUACAUGUAUUACCUUGUUGUACUAAUAUCAUUUUGUUCAGAGAUUUCAUUACUGAUUAUUUAGUUCUGUGACAAGGAAAUGGCAAACAUAUAGGCAUUUUAAUCUGAAAACUCAAAUGCCAUGUUUAGAGAAGAUGGUAAGCCUCUCAUUAGUGGUAAUUUUAUUACGUUGAAACACGAUAUGGAGCUAUGAUAAUGAGUGUUUGGGGUUUGGACGGCAUGACAUAAAAUGAUAUAUUUUGAAAUAGAUAGUCUAUUUUCUUCAAAAACUUUCUUGCACUAAGCUUAUAAUCUUCGCUUGACUUCGUAUGUACGUAUUAGCUCUGUUUAAUUCCACUCAUAGUCAUGUUGUCGCACUGCCACAUACUGGCUUAUAUAAUUCAUUUUACUUCCACAUUGUUCUUUUGAGCAUGGGGUUGCAGGUUUUAUUGAACUAACUUGGGUGCUUGUCCUACAUGUGAAAGAUGCACACACUGACGAACUUACCUACAUGGCUACAUCUAAGAGGAAUGAUUAUUACAAUUCCCUUGCUGAGUACUGGAUGAACUUCAGUAACUACACUAUUUCUAAUUGCUAACUGUACAUCACGAUGAUGCUAUGUCUCACAAGAGACCGACGAGGUGAUACUAAUUGCAGAGGAGGAGGAUAUGUAUACCCCAGCACCAUUACCCUGGAUACUUCAUGAUGGUAAUGAUUUUGAUUAAUUCAGUUAAGUGAUUAAUUAUUUUGAUUUGGAUGCCAUGCGCUGUUCUGAUACUGGUGGCAGCUUUGACACCUGGUUCAUUCCUUGUGUUGGGAACAUUACCAAAUUUGUUUUCACACAUAAAUAUGUAGUAGAUGAAUAUGCUAUGUAUUUUCUUCUGCUAUACAAUUAUUAGUAAUCAACCUUGCUUCUGUACAAAGGUGAAAUUUAGUGCUUUUGGUAUAUUUCAGUUAGCAUGGGAAAGCAAAACCUAUGCUUGAGCCUCAGCAUUCAGCCGUACAUAAACCUAUCCUAUUUAUUUAUUUAUUUAUUUUUGCUAAUGAACAGUUGUGGUUAUUAUAUCUAUAUCAGGAGGAUAGUAAAGAUAUUUCUAAAGUACAGAAUAUAAUUUUUAUAUUGACUGCAAAAGAAAAUCUAACCACAUUUGAUCUUCUGGACCUUGAAUUACUUAACUCUAUGGCCGCCUAUGAUAUUGUAACUACCUUUCCUACUCAGUUUGACAUUUGGUUUCUCGUACAGGGAGUGGUUAAUAAGUUGCAUUAACCGGCGAGAUGGAAUGAGCUUAUUGGUUUAGUACUUGAUGCAAUUAUUCUUGGUUGGAAGUAAAAGACUUACGUGUCAUAUAGAUGUAUUUCUGCUAACUUUUCAGUAAUAUGUGCGUAUAAUACAAAAUAACAUGUCACUGAUGCAUGAAAAUUCAAGAAAAG